ACUUUAUCUUUUUCAAUUUGAUAAUCUGUAUUCUUGCUUGGUCUACAGUCAUGCCUUGCCUAUCACAUGAUCAGAAGUUCAGAACAGUAGUACAUCCUCGUCAUCAUCAUCAACAUCAUCAUCUUGUUACACCAACUUCAGCACUGUGCAUAAUUUGAUUUUAAAAACACUUAGCCUUCUUACCAGUCUCUUAGCCAUGUACAACCAUUCAGAAUCACGCACAAUCAUUAGGACAUGGAAGAAGACGAUUUUUUUAUUCAAGAUUCUUUAAUUGUUUUUGGCAAACAUUUAAUGUAGGUGAAAGAUCGUCAGUAAUAAUCAUUUAGGCACUAACUGUUUUCUUUUCUUCAUUUUUUAUUGUUUUUAAAAUACAAAGAGAAUGAGAGUUUUGAUUUGAUGUAUAGUGAAUUAGUGAUUGCCACAGUAUGUAAGAAGGAAAAAAAACAGAAAGAAGAAAAAGAAUUUUUAAUUCAUGAGAGAAUUCCAAAGCCUCUCUUGCCUGGUUC
This is a non-coding RNA of Arachis ipaensis, 506 nucleotides long. NCBI's taxonomy places the organism in Eukaryota, Viridiplantae, Streptophyta, Magnoliopsida, Fabales, Fabaceae. The record is from RefSeq and is a predicted model, not a curated record.